UACGGGAGUGGCAAGCGUUAUCCGGAAUUAUUGGGCGUAAAGCGUCCGCAGGCGGUCUUAUAAGUCUGUUGUUAAAGCGUGGGGCUUAACUCCAUUUCAGCAAUGGAAACUGUAAGACUAGAGUGUGGUAGGGGCAGAGGGAAUUCCCGGUGUAGCGGUGAAAUGCGUAGAUAUCGGGAAGAACACCAGUGGCGAAGGCGCUCUGCUGGGCCAUAACUGACGCUCAUGGACGAAAGCCAGGGGAGCGAAAGGGAUUAGAUACCCCUGUAGUCCUGGCCGUAAACGAUGAACACUAGGUGUCGGGGGAAUCGACCCCCUCGGUGUCGUAGCCAACGCGUUAAGUGUUCCGCCUGGGGAGUACGCACGCAAGUGUGAAACUCAAAGGAAUUGACGGGGGCCCGCACAAGCGGUGGAGUAUGUGGUUUAAUUCGAUGCAACGCGAAGAACCUUACCAGGGUUUGACAUCCUGCGAAUCUUUUGGAAACGAGAGAGUGCCUUCGGGAACGCAGUGACAGGUGGUGCAUGGCUGUCGUCAGCUCGUGUCGUGAGAUGUUGGGUUAAGUCCCGCAACGAGCGCAACCCACGUCGUUAGUUGCCAGCAUUGAGUUGGGCACUCUAGCGAGACCGCCGGUGAUAAACCGGAGGAAGGUGUGGAUGACGUCAAGUCAUCAUGCCCCUUACAUCCUGGGCUACACACGUACUACAAUGCUACGGACAAAGGGCAGCAAACUCGCGAGAGCUAGCAAAUCCCAUAAACCGUGGCUCAGUUCAGAUCGUAGGCUGCAACUCGCCUACGUGAAGGAGGAAUCGCUAGUAAUCGCAGGUCAGCAUACUGCGGUGAAUACGUUCCCGGGCCU
Molecule: ribosomal RNA, 857 nt
Filed under: uncultured bacterium
Lineage: Bacteria
Description: SSU rRNA
Rfam family: Bacterial small subunit ribosomal RNA
Source: RNAcentral